Molecule: long non-coding RNA, 457 nt
Filed under: Gossypium barbadense (sea-island cotton)
Lineage: Eukaryota; Viridiplantae; Streptophyta; Magnoliopsida; Malvales; Malvaceae
Description: long non-coding RNA (GBAR_LNC020260)
Source: RNAcentral
UCCGAAGAAUGCCUAAAAAUAAACUAUUAUGGCGCCAAAAGAACUGCCGAAGCACUUAUUUCAUUGCUGCAACUAUCCGACUUACCAAGGAUCGUAAAUGUUUCCUCCUCUGCAGUCAUGCUGGAGGUAGAAUCCCGAGUUCCUGUAAAAUCCCAUUUCAGAUCAUAAGCUUCAAAAACGGUUGAUGGAAAAGUUUCUUUGUUACAGGGUAAAUGUGAGAAGCUUAAAGGAGUGUUAACAGGUGUUACAACAGAGGAGAAACUGAAUGACUUGAUAACCGAGUAUCUAAAAGAUUUUAAGGAGGGCUUACAUGGAAGUAAAGGAUGGCCAGCCGUCGCCUCUGCCUAUACUGUCUCAAAAGUAGCACUUAAUGCCUACACAAGGAUUCUGGCAAACAAGUACCCAGAUUUCUGCAUCAACUCUGUUUGCCCAGGAUACGCCAAAACUGAUAUAAACC